Molecule: long non-coding RNA, 790 nt
Organism: Oncorhynchus tshawytscha (Chinook salmon)
Lineage: Eukaryota; Metazoa; Chordata; Actinopteri; Salmoniformes; Salmonidae
Source: Ensembl
CGAGCACAGAUGCAGAGCCUCGGUCUGACACCAUUAAAAGCCUCAGUAGAACACACCUGACUAUCCUCCACCAGUCAUACAAGGAGAAUAGUCUAAUGCCUAUCAAAAAGAGAUCUGACCCAAGCAAGCACAGGUUACACAUGAAGCAUCAGGACUUGCAGCGAGUGGUGAACUUCAUCAACACCUAUGCAGAGGAUAAUGCAAUAGUAUUACCUGGACGCCAACCAGGACACAAACACUUUGGUCGGAAGCUGCUGCCAUGUCAUGUGACACAAACUGCAGUGUGGCAUCUCUACAAGGAAAUGAUGACAACACAUGAGGUAUGUGUAGUCGCGCUGUCUUCCUUCAAGAAUUUGUGGACCACCUGACUCCGUACUUUAGCCUAAUGUCACAGAUCAAGCAGUACCAGCACUUCAGGAGCAUGGUUUUGUUGUCGCCAAGGAGCGUUCAGACUCAGUUGGGACCAGGUUUCAGCUGCUCCCAGUCAUCAUGACUAUCUGCACUGCCUCUAUGCACAUUCACAUGACUUUCUCUUAACACACACAGCAUACGUUGCUGCUAUUAUAAAAAAUGCAUCCUGCUGCUCAGCCACUUUACUGCUUAUUGUAUGCAUAUAUGUAACUACCUUGUGUAUCACCAGUAUCUCUGACAUCGUUAUUGAUAUUGUUCUUGUACAUACUGUAUAGUUUGUUCUUUCUCUACUGGCAUUGACACUUAUUGUUAUUGGUUUUUAUAUAUUGACACUUUCUAUUUUUUAUAUUGCAAGUAACCAUUUGGUUGUACCGUUUAC